Molecule: ribosomal RNA, 544 nt
Filed under: uncultured Scutellospora
Lineage: Eukaryota; Fungi; Glomeromycota; Glomeromycetes; Diversisporales; Gigasporaceae
Description: SSU rRNA
Rfam family: Eukaryotic small subunit ribosomal RNA
Source: RNAcentral
UUGGAGGGCAAGUCUGGUGCCAGCAGCCGCGGUAAUUCCAGCUCCAAUAGCGUAUAUUAAAGUUGUUGCAGUCAAAAAGCUCGUAGUUGAAUUUCGGGGUUCUACCGUUGGUCGGGCUUUGUCUGUACUGGCGUGUAGAAUUUCUACCUUCUGGGGAACCAUUAUGUUAUUAAUUUAACGUGGUGGGAAACCAGGACCUUUACCUUGAAAAAAUUAGAGUGUUCAAAGCAGGCUUAUGUCUGAAUACAUUAGCAUGGAAUAAUAGAAUAGGACGGUGGUCCUGUUUUGUUGGUUUCUGAAUCACCGUAAUGAUUAAUAGGGAUAGUUGGGGGCAUUAGUAUUCAAUUGUCAGAGGUGAAAUUCUUGGAUUUAUUGAAGACUAACUUCUGCGAAAGCAUUUGCCAAGGAUGUUUUCAUUAAUCAAGAACGAAAGUUAGGGGAUCGAAGACGAUCAGAUACCGUCGUAGUCUUAACCAUAAACUAUGCCGACUAGGGAUCGGACGAUGUUAACUUUCCUUGACUCGUUCGGCGCCUUACGGGAAAC